RNAcentral lists this ribosomal RNA (568 nucleotides) under uncultured fungus. Its description in RNAcentral is "eukaryotic LSU rRNA". The stretch from base 201 to 349 matches the Rfam family "5.8S ribosomal RNA". The record is from RNAcentral. Lineage: Eukaryota; Fungi.
GGAAGUAAAAGUCGUAACAAGGUUUCCGUAGGUGAACCUGCGGAAGGAUCAUUCACAAUGAUAUAUUUCACCAUGUGAACCUGCCAAUGGCUUUGGCCAUUGGCCAUCUCACGCACCAGUCUGUUCAGGUGCGUGGCUACUUCGGUAGCUCACAGACAACUUGUGGUGGUUUUGAAGUCGAGAUAUUCCUAAGCUCUAUAUACUAUUAGCGGUGGAUGUCUUGGCUCCCACAACGAUGAAGGCCGCAGCAAAAUGCGAAACGCAUUGUGAUUUGCGGAAUUCUGUGAGUCAAUAGGUCGCUGAACGCAAACGGCACUACUCUCUGAGUAGUAGGUCUGUUUCAGUCUCAGUUACGAUCUCAUCAAACAACUUUUAUAAGUUGCUAUUGAUGAGUUAAGGUGCUGCUCGAUUCGUCUGGCAGUCGCAGCGUUCUAUAACAGUUCAUUAGGUUAACAUAUUGGUUCACCCUAUGUUGCCGAAGAACUACUAAGUUAUAGCGUACUAAACCCUAUGAGCUGAAAUCAGACCAGGCUGCCCGCUGGACUUAAGCAUAUUAGUCAGCGGAGGA